UCAGGUCAGCAAACCCGCUGAAUUUAAGCAUAUAAGUAAGCGGAGGACAAGAAACUAAACAGGAUUCCCCUAGUAAUGGCGAAUGAACAGGGAUGAGCUCAGCAUGGAAAUCGGGGUCUCCCGACCUUGAAUUGUAGUCUGUAGAUGUACUGCCAACGGAGGCGCAGAUGUAAGCCUCUUGGAAAAGAGCAUCAACGAGGGUGAGAGUCCCGUUUGUCAUCUGCAGUCCCCCGUGCACGGUGUGCCUUCUAAGAGUCACGUUCCUCGGGAUUGGAGCGCAAAGUGGGUGGUAAAUUUCAUCUAAAGCUAAAUAUUGGUUCGAGACCGAUAGCAAACAAGUACCAUGAGGGAAAGGUGAAAAGGACUUUGAAAAGAGAGUCAAAGAGUGCUUGAAAUUGUCGGGAGGGAAGCGGAUGGGGGCUG
RNAcentral lists this ribosomal RNA (423 nucleotides) under Chrysochromulina rotalis. Its description in RNAcentral is "partial Eukaryotic large subunit ribosomal RNA". It matches the Rfam family "Eukaryotic large subunit ribosomal RNA", at positions 11 to 432 of the family's 3401-position model. Lineage: Eukaryota; Haptophyta; Prymnesiales; Chrysochromulinaceae. The record is from RNAcentral.